CUGAAGCAGGGGCCCCGCAGAAGUUUCCCACACGUGUCACAGGCCGAUGUCAUGACAAGAGAGCGAGGGAGAGAGGAAGAGGGCCGGGAUCUGGGAAUGAGGGGAAGAUUAGCUCUGAGGAGCGGGAAUGAGAAUAAUGAGUGAGGACAAACCCCUGUUAGAAGCAGAGAAGACAAAGACCUCAGAUGAUGAUUGACCCGAUGGCAGCGCAGGGACGCGGAGAACAGGAAAAGGGGCACAGAUGGACGGAAGCACUCAGCGGUAUAAGUGUUAAAGCGCUCUGUGUUCUAAGAGCAUCUUUGCGUCAGUGACAACGAUAGCUGACGGAUCGAGCCUCUGACUGGAACCACUGCAAUGGAGAUUUUCUUCCAUUUGUCUGUCUCGCUCUCGCACUGUCAGAAUGUGUGAUGUGAUCAGUGAUCCCGACUUGAUACCUCUGGUAGCAGGCGAGGCGAGAGCCUGCGUGUGCUCGGUGAAGGGCAUCCAUCCAGAACGGAGCGGUGGCCAGCUGAGGAGUCCCUGCACGCCUCGGCUUCAAGCUGCUCCAUGGGAACUGGGGGGGAUGGAUGGCAGCUGUUUCCCUGGAGACCUGGAUUAACAGGGACCUGCUCUCUAAUUACCUCACACCCACCUAAGUCGAGAGCAAGGCAGAGAGCGCGCCUCACCUCGAGACCCUUAACGCAGAAACAAAGAAUAUCUAUUUGGCCGCGUUUUCUUGGAAGGAAGAUGCGUAGAGGCAAGAGUGCAACGGCCGAGGACAUGGAACCUGGAAAGGAAGCAACACAGGCCUGUGGGAUACAAUGCUGGCAUAGAGCUGAGAUGACAGGUAAAAACAUUGCUGCAACUCCUUCCUGCACUGAAUGUGUAAGUGACAUUAAUUAAACUUCCCCGCUCGAGCAAAAGGACAUGAUCGCUGGAAUGUUUCAUGAAGUGAGGCAACCCUGUUUGCCUUCAUUAAAGCCAAAGCACAGAGAGCUGCAGGCCGUUAAAUCGCCCUUGACACCAGAAAGAACAGCGCGUUAUUACUGGACCUCCUAGUACGGUGCGGCCGGUGGCUUGCGUGUCUUUCGUGACGGUUGACACGAGUGACUCAUGCAUCCUAGAGCCCCAGAAAGAGAGGCUCGACUUAUACGUCUCCCAGAGUGUCAAUUAUACGUCCUUCAUCGUGCGCAGACCAGUGGAGAACAAAAACCGCUUUGUGCCCCAGUUUUAGUUCGCUGCAGACUGUUUUUUAUCAUGUUUUUUUGGAGGUGAGCCAUCGCCGGAGACUGUGAUGAUAUCAUGAAAAUAAUGGGCAUCUAUCAUCGGCUACAAAGUGAAACCAAUGGCAGCGUUUCUUACUUUGAUAACUUCUGAAGCUCAGGCGCCAAUAAAUUCUGCGGCAACAAAGAAGAAACUUCCAUGACCUCUGAGCAGUAGAAUUUGUCUGUUUUUUCUGCCUUCUAUGGGAAAUUUGGAGCUGAACAUCCUGCACGUCCCUCCUAAUCCCAAGAGAGAGGAGCAGAGAAGGGGCAACUGGUAGAAAAACACUGGACAGGAAUGCCACAGUUACAGGGAGGUUACCCUAUACGGCUUAGGUCUGUCAUACUCUGUGGCUGCCACUACAACUGGGGGAGGAAUGAAAGGAGACUAGCGUUUGAGGGGAAUAUGCUAUUAUGUAAUACAGUACCUGGGGCUCUCUGCUAUCCCUAUAUGCCCUUUUCCCCUUGGACCGUGACACAAAACGGGCAUGCGCUAGUGGAGAGUGUAUAAUACGACAGCUACUGGCUGUUGUUCUCCAACUUCGUGGAAACACUGUAAAUCAGAAAGUUUGUCAUAUGCUUGUUGUCGUCUUUCUAGCUUGCACAGUUUUCACGCAGGGUAAUAAUAGCAGAAGAAUUUUGUGUCAUAACCUCUUAGCCUUCGCUGGGUCAUUGAGCCCUGUGCAGUCACCACCACAGGCAGCCGCGUGUAAAGCUUCCGUUGCCGCUAGCAACAGGCCGGAAAUAUUCAGAUCUGGUAAUAUUUAAUUUAGGAAAACUACCAAAUGAGGCCUUACAGUAUGUCUCAUUUAUAUUUUUCCCAUGGUGUAAUUUAAAUUUUAUAGAGGAAAUACUAUUUCAUACUAAAAUAACAUUUCACCCAUCCGCUUCACAGUUUAGAGGCUGAAAACUCACAUCCACUUUUCAGGAACAUUAACUCCAAUAAUUUGCAGGCUAAACUUCAGGGAGGAAUUAUACUGCGUGAUCAACACACAAAACAGCAGCGACAUAAAGAAAUUGAUUAAAAAAGGUUGUAGCAGAAAAGCCCUAAAGCGUUACGCCCCGAAAAACCCCGCUCGUAUUUCUCUAAUGAGAUUUUGGAUUCUUUUCUCCUGAAUAUUUGAGAGUGAAGCAAUUAAGAGGUUAGAAUUUGGGAGCCUGAAGGAGAAUUCUGCCGAGCCUUAAAUUGCUUGGGAAGUCAUUUUGUUUUGAACUGUGUCAUAAAUUCUAAUGAUGUUAAUGGGCUUAAUUGGAAUUUUCUUAACCAUAGGUUUGUUGUUUAAUAUAUGCCACAAGAAUUCACUGCUUCCCCCCCCCCGUUCCGCACGCCUGAUGGGAUUCAUGUGAAUAUGGCACAAGACUUUUUUACAACUGCGGUGCAGCAGUGAAAGGCUGUGGGUCAGCAGCAUCCAUUCUGCCUUCAUAAUAUUAUCCCGUAAAAACACGUAUGUGCUGUUAUACACACACACAACAUAAACCUCCCCCUAUAUAUACACGCGCCUCACUUUAUUUAGCGUCACAUACCGCUGGUCUUCACCGGGUUCACUUUUAUUUUUACCCAUUGAGUGAUUAAAAAUAUAUGGCCUCACCCUGUAAAUUUUAAUGCUCGGCCAACGUGUCUAUUUCUGAAAUGUGCGCGGCGGUACUGCCGUGAGCGAGCCUGCUGCUGUUUGUGUGGAGUCAUGUUAAAGAUGACAUAGACCUUGACAUAGGCACCGAUAAACCUUCAUCUCCACUUUGAUUUGUCCUUAGACAGCUCUAGGAAUUUUCCACUACACCAAGCACGCUCUUGUCAAGUCACCACUUUGAAAUAUGAAAGCAAUUCCAGCGUAGAACCUUUUUUUUUUUUUUGUGUCCACAUAAAACAAUAGACAAUUUGCACAUGUCAUGGAUUAUUAUGCAUUAGGGGAAUACCUUCAUGUCAAGCAGUACUUUGCAUCUGAAGACGCUAUGCUAAAGUCUGCUAGAAGAAGCUGGCCUGUGUUGUUCUGGGUCAAGAGUAUUUCCUGCAUCUCCUUCGGUGGUGCAUCCGCUCCUCAUCCCAGAGAACACCGAGACAAUAGAACAGAUGGAGGAAGAGCACUGUCCGUGCAUCUGGUUAAAUGCAUUCAAAGGCCAUUUUUAGCACGUCUCCCACUGACAUAGAGGCCUAAAACAACAUUUAAGUGGAGCCGUGCCACCGUUUCAUGUUAACAGGAGCAGAAAUUGAAAAUUGUUGUUCUUUUCAGCGAGGUGCUGGGCUGACGUUUCGACAGUUAAGAGGUCUUUAAAAUGCAAAAUGCCAGCAGCAAAGGAAAAAAAACAAAAAAAAAAACAUGCGAACCCCACACUGCUUCCUUUAUUGGAGUUAACAGGGGUCGUUUAAUGUCAGGGUCUGGCACGUUAUGUAAUGUCAUGAUUUAGGCUCCUUCAAUGGAAACUGUAUCUGGAAAUUCUGUCGAACAGUCAAUAUCUCUGUCCGUGAACAUUGUUAACGCUACGACCGUGUUCCCUGUUCACUUCCACCUGUGGAUGUUUGUUAUGUGUAGUUAGUUUUUUGUUGUCAUUUAUGUAAUAAAGUCAUAAAUGACAAACAGAAAAAAGGGUUUAUGAAUGCCAUAUUCUUGCAUGUUAUGAUUUGGACCAACCUAAACAGUUUUAUGUUAUGUUUUAUGACUUAAAAUGUUGGUGUAUAAACCAUGAGACCUAUAUUGAAGUCAGUAAAUAGUCAUAAAAG
Molecule: long non-coding RNA, 3957 nt
Organism: Mugil cephalus (flathead mullet)
Lineage: Eukaryota; Metazoa; Chordata; Actinopteri; Mugiliformes; Mugilidae
Exons: 2
Source: RefSeq, a predicted model, not a curated record